RNAcentral lists this small RNA (520 nucleotides) under Pongo abelii (Sumatran orangutan). RNAcentral's name for it is "retained intron". The stretch from base 174 to 244 matches the Rfam family "Small nucleolar RNA SNORD34". The record is from RNAcentral. Lineage: Eukaryota; Metazoa; Chordata; Mammalia; Primates; Hominidae.
CCUACCACUUCCGGGCCCCCAGCCGCAUCUUCUGGCGGACCGUGCGAGGUAUGCUGCCCCACAAGACCAAGCGAGGCCAGGCCGCUCUGGACCGUCUCAAGGUGUUUGACGGCAUCCCACCGCCCUAUGACAAGGUGAGCUGUGCCAACCCCUGCAGGCAGCGGCCUUACCUGUGGCGUCCAUGAUGUUCCGCCACUACCUACAUUGUUUGAUCCUCAUGAAAGCAGCACUGGCUGAGACGCCGGCCCAGCCAACCUCCUUCCCUGUCUGUCCCUCCCGGGCUCUAAGCCCCUCUCUUUCUCUAACAGAAAAAGCGGAUGGUGGUUCCUGCUGCCCUCAAGGUUGUGCGUCUGAAGCCUACAAGAAAGUUUGCCUAUCUGGGGCGCCUGGCUCAUGAGGUUGGCUGGAAGUACCAGGCAGUGACAGCCACCCUGGAGGAGAAGAGGAAAGAGAAAGCCAAGAUCCACUACCGGAAGAAGAAACAGCUCAUGAGGCUACGGAAACAGGCCGAGAAGAACGU